Molecule: ribosomal RNA, 457 nt
Filed under: uncultured microorganism
Description: bacterial SSU rRNA
Rfam family: Archaeal small subunit ribosomal RNA
Source: RNAcentral
GCGCACCAGUCGAGAAAACUUUCCAAUGCGUUAACGCGUGAGAAGGGAACCUCGAGUGGUUGCGCUUUGCGUAACCUUUUGCCAAAUCUAGAAAGUUUGGCGAAUAAGUGGUGGGCAAUACGGGUGCCAGCCGCCGCGGUAAUACCCGAGCCACGAAUGGUGAUCACGAUUACUGGGCCUAAAGAGUCUGUAGCCGGUUUAGCAAGUUCCUGGUGAAAUCUGGCAGCUAACUGUCAGGAUGGCUGGGAAUACUACUAAACUUGGGACCGGGAGAGGUCAGAAGUAUUCCUUGGGUAGGGGUUAAAUCCUUUAAAUCCAAGGAGGACUACCUGUGGCGAAGGCGUCUGACUAGAACGGGUCCGACGGUGAUGGACGAAAGCUGGGGGAGCAAAAUCUAAUCCUUCGAUCUUGCGAUUGCGAGGAUGAGAGCUUAAAGCGGAUUAGAUACCCCUGUAGU